CCGUGCCACUCAGCGGUGUAGUGUAUUGUGCAGUAGAGCUUACCUUAUCAGACCUUGUAGCACAGUCUCGGGCCUCACCUCCAAUAGAGUCAAUAUUGUCGGUAAACAUUAACCCAGCUGGACUUCUCUCUCUCCUACUGCGUCACAUAUUGAAAGCCCUCACAACAAGAGAACUAGUCACGAUCACUGAUUAGGCUUUUGGAAUCGAGAGAGAAAAAUCCAGUUGGAGUUGAGAGUGAGUAAAUGAGCGUACCUCACAGGAUACCAAGACUCUCACGCUAAAGAAGGUCUUCUAGAGGCUGAAGUGGAGUGUUUAUUUGGAAUACAGAUGCAGGGUUGGACCAGCUAUUGAGAUACUAACAGAGGCCUAUACAUCCAGAACCCAAGUCUCACAGACUGUAUUUACUGUCGCCAUCGCUGAAAACAUUGAGAGAUGGCUCUGGAAAGUGUUCCAGACCCCCCUGACCCGGCAGGGUCACCAGAGGACUGGGUCCAGUGGGCUGUGCAGCGCCUGCAGAUGGAGCCCUGGGCGUUGGGGGGCAUUGUGGUCAUAGGGCUGUUCCUGCUGAUGAUCCUGGCCCUGGUGGUCUUCGCUCUAAUAUAUGGCUGUUGCUGCUCACCUGGAGGGGGGAAGAGGAGAAUGAAGAAAGGGGUGCUUUAGAGAAGUGGGUCCCACUCUCCAUGACUGUUCUACGGCCAUUGAGAUUUUCUGUACCCCCUUACGUCUACGAUGACUUUUCCAAAAGAAAAGACUGUGCAAAAAAAUCUUCCAGCCCCAAGCAUUAUUAAUGGGACCAUCAUUUAAACAAACACUCUGAGGAAUGUCUGAAUUGGCAAAUAAUUCGAUCCAAGUCAAGAUAAUAACGUUCAUAAAUUGAUUUGCGUAUUUGAUUAUGAAAAUGUGCUGUUUGAUUAUCAUUAAAUGUUGAAACUUUAAAUGAAUCCUUUCAAUAAAAAAACUAUAUGCAUGCGCAUAUCAUAAGCGAUGCUGAAAGUGCCGUCGUCGUGUAUAGCAGAGCCAGAAUGAGUCACAAGAUGGCGGGUGUGCCAGAAUGGACUUGGAGAUGGAGUCAUUGAGGAUGGAAAGAAGGAGCGGGCAGGAGGGGGAAAAAGGAAGAAAGUGGAACAUAUUAAGAGUAAAUAUAGAGUUCUGCAGAAGGAAAUUGAACAUGAAUUAACUGCGGUGUCAGGUGCGGUAAAGAACACAGAGUCUGGGGACUGUGACAUGCUUUCCUCUCUGGAGCAGGGCGCCUUUGAAAGGAGUGAAAACUGGUGUGGUGUUAAGUGUUGAUGAGGGUCAACUGAAGUUGAAGAUUCCCGGUGUCUGUGACGCCUGCCAUUUGAUGUGACGCAGACCCAGUGUAGAGCGUGGUGAAACAUCAAAGACACUGUACUAUUGAUGCAGAGUUUUUACCAGAUAAAGUCAAGUUAGGAUGUGUCCGUUAGAGCUUUUGUCCCAAACCUAUUACGGUGUUUUA
This is a long non-coding RNA of Oncorhynchus tshawytscha (Chinook salmon), 1478 nucleotides long. The record is from Ensembl. Lineage: Eukaryota; Metazoa; Chordata; Actinopteri; Salmoniformes; Salmonidae.